UAAGCUGCAUUUGGAUAAAAGAGUUCGGUCAAAUUCUAGCUCGUGGUACAAAAGUGGAAGACCAGCUUCUUCAAACCAAAAUUGAAAACUUUGAGGAAGAUGGAUAACACUGAUGACAUAGCACAUGCAUGUUCUAAGAAUCUCUACCUAUUGCUUAAAAAAAACGGAGACGAAAUCGAGAUGCUCGAGUCUGCAAACCCAAAGGGUGCAGUAACCAUUGAUUUACUUAAACUUCGAGCUGCAACGAGCCAAUGAUCUGUCUUUUGGAAGCAUCCAUGAGAAAAACUUGCAUAUACCUUGGUGAAAGAUUUGGUAAACUGUGACCAUGCCCAGCCUCGACACUGGCAAUCGAUAGAGAAAAGAGAAUCUCGUUUGGAUAACCCCUCAACCUCCUUUGCCCUGAGUCUGCAUAUGCAUCAUUUUCGUUUCAUGUGCUGUUCCCGGGUGCUCCUGCUGCUGGUUUGUUGUCCUCGAUCAGUGCUUUUAUGUGUUUGUGCUGCUUACUAUGUCCAAACUCCAAACCCCCCUGUUACUGCUGCUUGGGCUAAGCCUCUGGCCCCUGGAGAUGAUGUCUGCAUACUGCAUAUCAAGCUUUCUAGGGUGGCAAAGGUUUUGCGCUCUUGGAGUCGUAUAUGAAAACCAGGUUACAACUUGCUGCUCUCCAAAGUGGCUUCAGCAGGUUAUUCUGGGCCUGGACCAUGGCACCAUGCUCAAGAUCUCGGCGAUCUCAUGUUGGCUAACAUUCCUCUCAAACAGUUCCUGAGGUUUAAGAUCCUUGCACUGGCUGCCAUCGCAAGAUCAAGAAUUAGACAGCGUUCAAGAAUUUAAUGGCUCAAGACAGGAGAUGCCAACUCAAAACUCUUUCACCUUAAAGCCAAUGGCCAAUGGUCUUGAGGGAGAAGGUGACAUCUUCUUAAUGCUGCACGAGUCAGAUGAAGCGUGCAGGUAAAGAAUUUCAGGCAAGGUCCUUUGCAAACUAUUGGCAAUUUGUCUUGCCCCUUGUUUCCACACCAUAGUCUUAAACUGUCAAAGCGCAUCAAUUAAGCAAAGAAGCAUCCAUGGAAAUCUCAUUUAUGUCAGAAGUGCG
This 1087-nucleotide long non-coding RNA is filed under the name Hordeum vulgare. RNAcentral's name for it is "long non-coding RNA (HVUL_LNC017556)". The record is from RNAcentral. Lineage: Eukaryota; Viridiplantae; Streptophyta; Magnoliopsida; Poales; Poaceae.